This 497-nucleotide ribosomal RNA is filed under the name uncultured bacterium. RNAcentral's name for it is "partial 16S ribosomal RNA". It matches the Rfam family "Bacterial small subunit ribosomal RNA", at positions 28 to 507 of the family's 1533-position model. The record is from RNAcentral.
GAUGAACGCUGGCGGCGUGCCUAAUACAUGCAAGUCGAGCGAACGGACGAGAAGCUUGCUCCCCUGCUGUUAGCGGCGGACGGGUGAGUAACACGUGGAUAACCUACCUCUAAGACUGGGAUAAUUUCGGGAAACCGGAUCUACUACCGGAUGAUAUUUUGAACCGCAUGGUUCAAAAGUUAUAGACGGUCUUGCUGUCUCUUAUAGCCGGUUCCGCGCUGCAUUAGCUAGUUGGUAAGGUAACGGCCUACCAAGGCAACGAUGCAUAGCCGACCUGAGAGGGUGAUCGGCCACACUGGAACUGAGACACGGUCCAGACUCCUACGGGAGGCAGCAGUAGGGAAUCUUGCGCAAUGGGCGAAAGCCUGACGGAGCAAUACCGCGUGAGUGAUGAAGGUCUUCGGAUCGUAAAGCUCUGUUGUUAGGAAAGAACAGAAGUGUAAGUAACCGUGGACAUCUUGACGGUACCUAAAGAAAAAGCCACGGCUAACUUCGUG